UGAGGAAUUUUGCGCAAUGGGGGAAACCCUGACGCAGCAACGCCGCGUGAGUGAUGAAGGCCUUCGGGUCGUAAAGCUCUGUCAAGUGGGAAGAAUCUGUCCGGUGAUAAUACCGCUGGGCAAUGACGGUACCGCUGAAGGAAGCACCGGCUAACUCCGUGCCAGCAGCCGCGGUAAUACGGGGGGUGCUAGCGUUAUUCGGAAUCAUUGGGCGUAAAGGGCGCGUAGGCGGUCGUUUAAGUCAGAUGUUGA
This 252-nucleotide ribosomal RNA is filed under the name uncultured prokaryote. RNAcentral's name for it is "partial 16S ribosomal RNA". It matches the Rfam family "Bacterial small subunit ribosomal RNA", at positions 355 to 598 of the family's 1533-position model. The record is from RNAcentral.